AGAGUUUGAUCAUGGCUCAGGAUGAACGCUAGCUACAGGCUUAACACAUGCAAGUCGAGGGGCAGCAUGGUCUUAGCUUGCUAAGGCCGAUGGCGACCGGCGCNCGGGUGAGUAACGCGUAUCCAACCUGCCUUACACUCUUGGACAGCCUUCUGAAAGGGAGAUUAAUACAAGAUGUUAUCAUGAGUAAGCAUUUUCGCAUGAUUAAGGUUUACCGGUGUAAGAUGGGGAUGCGUUCCAUUAGAUAGUAGGCGGGGUAACGGCCACCUAGUCUUCGAUGGAUAGGGGUUCUGAGAGGAAGGUCCCCCACAUUGGAACUGAGACACGGUCCAAACUCCUACGGGAGGCA
RNAcentral lists this ribosomal RNA (349 nucleotides) under uncultured bacterium. RNAcentral describes it as "bacterial SSU rRNA". It matches the Rfam family "Bacterial small subunit ribosomal RNA", at positions 8 to 350 of the family's 1533-position model. The record is from RNAcentral.